AGUGGCUCAUUCACCUUCUUAUGUCAGCCCCUUCGGGACGUGCUACAUAAACUUCGAAUGACGCACAAAAAGGUGCCUGCCGUCCAACUACUGAUCAUAGCGUUGCUUUAUCAGACCCAGGGCGAAACGUCGAGUUAGGCACCGCCUC
Leclercia adecarboxylata is the source of this 148-nucleotide non-coding RNA. The record is from Rfam. Lineage: Bacteria; Pseudomonadati; Pseudomonadota; Gammaproteobacteria; Enterobacterales; Enterobacteriaceae.